RNAcentral lists this ribosomal RNA (468 nucleotides) under uncultured bacterium. Its description in RNAcentral is "partial 16S ribosomal RNA". It matches the Rfam family "Bacterial small subunit ribosomal RNA", at positions 28 to 507 of the family's 1533-position model. The record is from RNAcentral.
GACGAACGCUGGCGGCGUGCUUAACACAUGCAAGUCGAACGGAAAGGCCCUGCUUUUGUGGGGUGCUCGAUUGGCGAACGGGUGAGUAACACGUGAGUAACCUGCCCUUGACUGUGGGAUAACUUCAGGAAACUGGGGCGAAUACCGGGUAGGAUCUCCUGCUGCAUGGUGGUGGUUGGAAAGUGUCGGCGGUUGGGGAUGGACUCGCGGCUUAUCAGCUUGUUGGUGGGGUAGUGGCUUUCGAAGGCUUUGACGGGUAGCCGGCCUGAGAGGGUGACCGGCCACAAUGGGACUGAGAUACGGACCAGAAUCCUACGGGAGGCAGCAGUGGGGAAUAUGGCACAACGGGCGGAAGCCUGAUGCAGCAACGCCGCGUGCGGGAUGACGGCCUUCGGGUUGUAAACCGCUUUCGCCUGUGACGAAGAGUGAGUGACGGUAAUGGGUAAAGAAGCACCGGCUAACUACGUG